This 253-nucleotide ribosomal RNA is filed under the name uncultured bacterium. Its description in RNAcentral is "partial 16S ribosomal RNA". It matches the Rfam family "Bacterial small subunit ribosomal RNA", at positions 524 to 776 of the family's 1533-position model. The record is from RNAcentral.
UACGAAGGGGGCUAGCGUUGCUCGGAAUCACUGGGCGUAAAGCGCACGUAGGCGGACUCUUAAGUCGGUGGUGAAAUCCUGGAGCUCAACUCCAGAACUGCCUUCGAUACUGGGAGUCUCGAGUCCGAGAGAGGUGAGUGGAACUGCGAGUGUAGAGGUGAAAUUCGUAGAUAUUCGCAAGAACACCAGUGGCGAAGGCGGCUUACUGGUCCGGUUCUGACGCUGAGGCGCGAAAGCGUGGGGAGCAAACAGG